CCUACGGGCGGCAGCAGUGAGGAAUAUUGGUCAAUGGGCGCGAGCCUGAACCAGCCAAGUAGCGUGAAGGAUGACUGCCCUACGGGUUGUAAACUUCUUUUAUAAGGGAAUAGAGGGAGGCACGUGUGCCUUUUUGUAUGUACUUUAUGAGUAAGGAUCGGCUAACUCCGUGCCAGCAGCCGCGGUAAUACGGAGGAUCCGGGCGUUAUCAGGAUUUAUUGGGUUUAACGGGAGCGUAGAUGGGUUGUUAAGUCAGUUGUGAAAGUUUGCGGCUCAACCGUAAAAUUGCAAUUGAUACUGGCAGCCUUGAGUACAGUUGAGGUAGGCGGAAUUCGUGGUGUAGCGGUGAAAUGCUUAGAUAUCACGAAGAACUCCGAUUGCGAAGGCAGCUUACUAAACUGCCACUGACAUUGAUGCUCGAAAGUGUGGGUAUCAAACAGGAUUAGAUACCCCUGUAGUC
This 460-nucleotide ribosomal RNA is filed under the name uncultured bacterium. RNAcentral describes it as "partial 16S ribosomal RNA". It matches the Rfam family "Bacterial small subunit ribosomal RNA", at positions 338 to 795 of the family's 1533-position model. The record is from RNAcentral.